This 87-nucleotide transfer RNA is filed under the name Rickettsiales bacterium. Its description in RNAcentral is "tRNA-Tyr". It matches the Rfam family "tRNA". From Rfam's summary of the family: Transfer RNA (tRNA) molecules are approximately 80 nucleotides in length. Their secondary structure includes four short double-helical elements and three loops (D, anti-codon, and T loops). Lineage: Bacteria; Pseudomonadati; Pseudomonadota; Alphaproteobacteria; Rickettsiales. The record is from RNAcentral.
GGAGGAGUAUCCAAGUGGCUAAAGGAAGCUGUCUGUAAAACAGUCCUCUAUAUGAGUUCGUCGGUUCGAAUCCGUCCUCCUCCACCA